GACGUAGGGCGCGAGCGUUGUCCGGAUUUAUUGGGCGUAAAGAGCUCGUAGGCGGCUUGUCGCGUCGUCCGUGAAAACUUGGGGCUCAACCCCAAGCUUGCGGUCGAUACGGGCAGGCUAGAGUUCGGUAGGGGAGACUGGAAUUCCUGGUGUAGCGGUGAAAUGCGCAGAUAUCAGGAGGAACACCGGUGGCGAAGGCGGGUCUCUGGGCCGAUACUGACGCUGAGGAGCGAAAGCGUGGGUAGCAAACAGG
RNAcentral lists this ribosomal RNA (253 nucleotides) under uncultured bacterium. RNAcentral describes it as "partial 16S ribosomal RNA". It matches the Rfam family "Bacterial small subunit ribosomal RNA", at positions 524 to 776 of the family's 1533-position model. The record is from RNAcentral.